Molecule: ribosomal RNA, 427 nt
Filed under: uncultured bacterium
Lineage: Bacteria
Description: bacterial SSU rRNA
Rfam family: Bacterial small subunit ribosomal RNA
Source: RNAcentral
UGGGGAAUAUUCCGCAAUGGACGAAAGUCUGACGGAGCAACGCCGCGUGAGUGAUGAAGGUUUUCGGACUGUAAAGCUCUGUUGUUUAGGACGAAAGUGCCUGUUGCGAACAGUUACAGGUAUUGACGGUACUAAACGAGGAAGCCACGGCUAACUACGUGCCAGCAGCCGCGGUAAUACGUAGGUGGCAAGCGUUGUCCGGAAUUAUUGGGCGUAAAGAGCAUGUAGGCGGAGAUUUAAGUCUGUUGUGAAAAUGCGGGGCUCAACCCCGUAUUGCGUUGGAAACUGAAUUUCUUGAGUGCAGGAGAGGAAAGGGGAAUUCCCAGUGUAGCGGUGAAAUGCGUAGAUAUUGGGAGGAACACCAGUGGCGAAGGCGCCUUUCUGGACUGUGUCUGACGCUGAGAUGCGAAAGCCAGGGUAGCGAACG